UGGGGAAUAUUGGACAAUGGGCGCAAGCCUGAUCCAGCCAUGCCGCGUGAGUGAUGAAGGCCCUAGGGUUGUAAAGCUCUUUCACCGGUGAAGAUAAUGACGGUAACCGGAGAAGAAGCCCCGGCUAACUUCGUGCCAGCAGCCGCGGUAAUACGAAGGGGGCUAGCGUUGUUCGGAUUUACUGGGCGUAAAGCGCACGUAGGCGGACUAUUAAGUCAGGGGUGAAAUCCCGGGGCUCAACCCCGGAACUGCCUUUGAUACUGGUAGUCUCGAGUUCGAGAGAGGUGAGUGGAAUUCCGAGUGUAGAGGUGAAAUUCGUAGAUAUUAGGAGGAACACCAGGGGAGAAGGCGGCUCACUGGCUCGAUACUGACGCUGAGGUGCGAAAGCGUGGGGAGCAAACAGG
RNAcentral lists this ribosomal RNA (404 nucleotides) under Actinomycetes bacterium. Its description in RNAcentral is "Actinobacteria bacterium partial 16S ribosomal RNA". It matches the Rfam family "Bacterial small subunit ribosomal RNA", at positions 355 to 776 of the family's 1533-position model. Lineage: Bacteria; Bacillati; Actinomycetota; Actinomycetes. The record is from RNAcentral.